RNAcentral lists this ribosomal RNA (253 nucleotides) under uncultured bacterium. RNAcentral describes it as "partial 16S ribosomal RNA". It matches the Rfam family "Bacterial small subunit ribosomal RNA", at positions 524 to 776 of the family's 1533-position model. The record is from RNAcentral.
GACGUAGGGCGCGAGCGUUGUCCGGAUUUAUUGGGCGUAAAGAGCUCGUAGGCGGCUUGUCGCGUCGUCCGUGAAAACUUGGGGCUCAACCCCAAGCUUGCGGUCGAUACGGGCAGGCUAGAGUUCGGUAGGGGAGACUGGAAUUCCUGGUGUAGCGGUGAAAUGCGCAGAUAUCAGGAGGAACACCGGUGGCGAAGGCGGGUCUCUGGGCCGAUACUGACGCUGAGGCGCGAAAGCUAGGGGAGCAAACGGG